AUUGAACGCUGGCGGCAUGCCUUACACAUGCAAGUCGAACGGUAACGCGGGGCAACCUGGCGACGAGUGGCGAACGGGUGAGUAAUGCAUCGGAACGUGCCCAGAAGUGGGGGAUAGCCCGGCGAAAGCCGGAUUAAUACCGCAUGAGACCUGAGGGUGAAAGCGGGGGAUCGCAAGACCUCGCGCUUUUGGAGCGGCCGAUGUCAGAUUAGCUAGUUGGUGGGGUAAAGGCCUACCAAGGCGACGAUCUGUAGCUGGUCGGAGAGGGCAACCAGCCACGCUGGGACUGAGACACGGCCCAGCCUCCUACGGGAGGCAGCAGUGGGGAAUUUUGGACAAUGGGCGCAAGCCUGAUCCAGCCAUGCCGCGUGCGGGAAGAAGGCCUUCGGGUUGUAAACCGCUUUUGUCAGGGAAGAAACGCUCUGGGCUAAUACCCUGGGGUAAUGACGGUACCUGAAGAAUAAGCACCGGCUAACUACGUGCCAGCCGCCGCCGUAA
Molecule: ribosomal RNA, 498 nt
Filed under: uncultured bacterium
Lineage: Bacteria
Description: partial 16S ribosomal RNA
Rfam family: Bacterial small subunit ribosomal RNA
Source: RNAcentral